Non-coding RNA from Arachis ipaensis, 426 nucleotides. The record is from RefSeq and is a predicted model, not a curated record. Lineage: Eukaryota; Viridiplantae; Streptophyta; Magnoliopsida; Fabales; Fabaceae.
AUGCCUAAUGCAUCUAGGGCCAAAUUCCCCAUUACUUAGUAUUUUUUUUCUCUUUUCACCAAAUACACCAAUAAUUAGCCAAAUCAGAGAACAUAACUCUCACCAACCUUGUUUGUGCCAUCACUACCUAAUCAGAGAAAGGUUUGCCAUCACUCAUCUUCACGCUGUCACCACUCACCACUUCCCUACUUCUCCACCACCAUUUCGCCACUCGAUCGAGAACUGUCACCCUUCUUCACCCAUUUGUCGAGAAGGUGAACUCGUACCCAACUGUUCGAGGAUUUAUUGUAAUAGGAACUAGAGGUGAGGACUUCAUGCAAUCAAUGGUUAUUGCCGUGAAAUCUGUAAUCCAACAGCCCAUUCCUGAGAGAUAUGUUUGGACAAAGAAUAAUGGAAUGAUGGUCUACUAACUACAAUAAGAGAUGG